UUAAAUCCAAAAGAUCAAAGUCAUCGCUUCCCCCAAAUAUUUUGGUUCCACCACACCCAAAUUAACUUCCCUCCCCCUAAUUCUAACCCGCUCAUUUCUCCCAAACCUAAUCGAUUCUCGGUGUUUGCUCUACCUUUCUCCCCUAAAUCAAUCAUCGCUCAACGAUCUAUGGAUCUGCAGUUCCGGUGAAAUCGUCCUUUUGGCCCUUUAUUCUCAUCGUUCGUAAAGAUUUUUUGAUAUUGUGGUGGAGGAAUUCAACAAAACAAAGAAAGAUUGGGACGAAGCCUAUCUUCAAACCCUAGCCCACAUUAAGUUCAAGUUGUUAUCUUUGUUGCCACUAUCUUUUUGAACUUGCUAGGCUUUUAACUAUGUAGUUAAAACCUUUUGUUUAGACUAUACGGAGUGGGAGGGGAUGAGGAGGGGGCAUUAAGCACCAUGUGGCAGCCACGUCGCAUAGCAAGAGGGCGUGGUAAAAAAAAGCACGGAGUGUGAGGGGCGUGAAAGUUGUGUUUUUAAAACAAAAAAAAAUCAACCAAUUGAAACAAAUCCAAACAACACCCACCAAUCAUAGGUCAUCAAAAUACGACUCGAUAAAUUAUAAGUUACCAGAACGGACAUUAGGUCUAUAGCAUCGCGACAUUCAGAUUAGCAAGGCACUCCUCAAGGAGAUUUUGGCAGCCAAGAGAAGAAACAAAUCAGUGAAAGGUUUGGGGCUUGAAAACCUGAACAAACACGCUCCUAUUAUCCCUUCUCACCUCACAAGUUCCACUCUUUGGACAGCUUAGUUUCAGGCUGACAUCUUCUGCCUACAGGAGAGAGAUUGGGGAAAGCAUGGAACAUGUAUUUACAAUGGUCGGAGAUGAAGCUUUCCUCAAAAGCAUUCUAAACUCUACCGAGACUGUAGCAAGAGGAAGGUUUUAAAGCUUGGACCCAAAUGAUCUAGUUGGUGGUACAGAGAUUGGACCAGAACGGUGUGAGGUAAACGUUCAAGUACCAAUAAAAAACAUGAAAACUUGGUAAGACCAUGUGGUUUAUUUUCUACAAUUCAAGAUUGUAUUGGUGCAUCCAUCGCAUGCCCCCUAUUCAUUCAUCUAGGUAGUCCAUGAGGAUUGAGGACGCAUGAUGACUCAAGAUUUUAUGCUUCUUAUUUCUUAAAUUGCUUUUAAU
RNAcentral lists this long non-coding RNA (1167 nucleotides) under Helianthus annuus (common sunflower). Lineage: Eukaryota; Viridiplantae; Streptophyta; Magnoliopsida; Asterales; Asteraceae. The record is from RNAcentral.